AGGGAGCCCGAGCCGGGCUGCGGAACGCGAAGCCCGCGGCCGCGACGCCCCUGCCGGCCCGUGGCGCCUCGCCUGCCCGGGUUGAAAGGCUGCGGGCGCACGGCCCGACCCGGCCCGGAGGUGCUGGUGGCGGUGCUGGGGAUGGGGCCGAGCGGGGGGCUGCUUUGCUGUCUUUUCAAACGACACUUGAGACUCUCACCCAGUCCUUUUCCAUGGCCCCAAGCCGCGACUUACUGGAGUGGAAGGAUGCAAGGCCUCGCCAAAGAUGGUUGAAAAAAAAAUGCCCGUGAGCCUCUCUACCCAGGAUCUUGAAGCCAAGGUGGUGGUUGUGCUGUCCUCCUCGUAAUGGUGGCAAUAAGUAAGAAGAGAGCACGCUAUCUUCAGAUAAAUUCAAUCUGAGAUUCUCCCAGGAGGUGGAAGAAAGGGCUCCCUUCUGUUAGUUAGUGGUUUGGAGCCCUUUUCGCCUUAAACUGAGCCACAAAAGAAUGGAAGACACCCCUGGGGUGGGGAGAAAGCCCUGGUGUAAAAGACACACGUUUGCUUUCAGAGAAAAAGCCACUGGGGCCAGAUUGAAGCAUGGCAUGUUUGGUUCAUGUAGGGUGGUUGUUGUUUCUUUUUUUAAAAAAAAACUGGGGGGGAAUGAUAUUGAGUAAACACGAUGUAAUAGCUGGUCUUUACGUUCUAUAAGGGAAGAUAGUGAACAAAUGGAACAGGCACACGUUGUACAUACAGCAGGUGGUCAUGGCUUAAAGAACACAGGCAAAAAAGAUACGGACAGAAACCCAGCCAAAGGCCAAGAAGGGAGAUAAUCGGAACCUAUCUGAGAGGGAGACACUGCGUUUCCAUGCCAGAUGAAAUAUGCUGUUUUCCAGCCCUAUGUCCUGGUGCCCAUCUUGUGCACAAACGAGCAAGCCACUAAAAGAGGUUGGGUUUUUUGCUGCUGCUGCUGCUGCUGUUAUUGUUUUAAGAACAAGAGAAACCUCCAUGUCAAGCUAAUGGUGCUGACUGGAAGUAGGACAAAAUGGAGGGACCUGGGGGGGAGGGGGGACCUUCCACCAUUACCUCCUAGAAAGGCUCCCUCCCUCCCUCCUCUUUGCUUGCACUCUGAAGACAAUACAACCACUGGAAUAGCAGUGAAGAAUCCGGGCAAAAGUGUUCCUGUGGGUUUCAUUUUAGAUCAGACUGGUGAAGGUCUGCAGAGUGUACAGAGAAGUUUUUCUGUUAAAUCUCAGAAUUCUCUCGCAUUAACUUCCGUGAAGGAAGCCGCCAUUGUCCUCUGCCUUGGGGCAGAGGUGGGAUGUGCAGUGGAAAAAGAUCUUUUGCUCUUUAAAGACUUUUUUUUUUUCAUGCAAACGCCUUAGACUGCCUCACACGAGAGAGUUCUUUAGCUUCAACCUGCGCUUGUGCCACAGUGCACAAAAGUCCCAGUGCCUCGACACACAGGGUUAGGAAGACCUAUUCUGUCUGCUGACUCUGCCAACCCCAGCAUCACAGUUUGUCAGUGUUACAAAAUGAUGAAAUCGAAACUCUCAUCUGCUUGGAGCCAGAGAACAAUGCCACCCAACACACUGUGUGUUGAGUUUCAACCUUACUUGGGCUUGAUUUCAUUUGAAAGGAAGCCUUUUCCUUCGUCUGAAGGUAGGCCAUUGUUAAUAUGCAUGUCAAAAAUAUUAUGUGCAUUGGAGAGAAGACUGGCAGGACCUGCUAAUCUGAGGUCCUGAUAGGCUAACGCCCUGUUACAGUAUAUGGAAUUUGAUCAUGCAGAUGCCCUAGGAAGAUCGUGAGUUGGUUUGAAAUCUUUAGGAAACGGCUCUCUUGCCCCUCCCCCACUCCCUACCAUACCACGGAAAGCUUCGGGAAGAGGGGUUUAAAUGGUUACAAGAGUUGUGCCCCUUAAACCAAAGUCUAACUUGCUUAUCCUAGGAAUCCAGCUGUGCAACUGCCCUAUGAAUUUGUAAUGCCAAAGGCUUUGUGAGCAGGGCUCCAUCAAAGCCUGGUGUUGUGGUCAAGCCUUGGCUGGGGGAUUUGGUUUCAUAGCCCACGCUCAUGGUUUGCACAAAAGACAGGAGCUAACACUGCAUCUGCUUUUAAGCCACAAACAACCAAAAAAGUAAAAGAUAACCAUUUCUAGCAAAUUCUCUCCUUUCUCUUUUUUACAAUGAGGGCUUCAGAGAAAGCUCUCAGCCAGAUAAACCGAUAGUUAAAAACAAAGCACCCAUUUGAACCCAUUUUGCAAAAUCAUUGAAUUCCGCUGCUCUGAGUUGGGGGUUGGGAGCAAGACCCCUCUACCAAAACAAGCACUACAAAAAAAGUGGAUUCUAAUAUGCUCUGGGUGUAAGACUACCUGUAUACCGUUCCGCUUUGAACAACAAUAAACAGUCAUGUGACUGCAA
This 2393-nucleotide long non-coding RNA is filed under the name Mus musculus (house mouse). RNAcentral's name for it is "predicted gene, 41760". Lineage: Eukaryota; Metazoa; Chordata; Mammalia; Rodentia; Muridae. The record is from RNAcentral.